GCACUGAGGGGAGGCUGUGCUAUCUUUUUUAUUUGUAGAAAUAUGUUUAUAUAAACUUGUUAUCACUUAUCAAUGGUCAUAUUUCGCCCGGGCUCUAGAAAGUCUCUAGGUAUGCAAAUGUCAGGCGGGACUGGUGUUGGCGAACUGUAGCACCAUGCACCCCGCCGCUUGGUGGUGCCAGAUGUGAAGUAGAUGAUGACGGCGGUGACGACGAUUAUUCCCAUGACAGAGACCAUGCCUUCGUGGUCAAAUUGAACAGACUUCUUGACGAUUUUCUUGUUCGGGAUUAGGGAAUCCAAUGUCGGG
Molecule: long non-coding RNA, 306 nt
Filed under: Sorghum bicolor (sorghum)
Lineage: Eukaryota; Viridiplantae; Streptophyta; Magnoliopsida; Poales; Poaceae
Description: long non-coding RNA (SBIC_LNC009379)
Source: RNAcentral